RNAcentral lists this ribosomal RNA (253 nucleotides) under uncultured bacterium. Its description in RNAcentral is "partial 16S ribosomal RNA". It matches the Rfam family "Bacterial small subunit ribosomal RNA", at positions 524 to 776 of the family's 1533-position model. The record is from RNAcentral.
GACAGAGGGUGCAAGCGUUAAUCGGAAUUACUGGGCGUAAAGCGCUCGUAGGUGGUUGACUAAGCCAGAUGUAAAAGCCCCGGGCUUAACCUGGGAAUGCCAUUUGGGACUGGUUGACUGGAGUUGGGUAGAGGAAAGUAGAAUUUCCGGUGUAGCGGUGAAAUGCGUAGAUAUCGGAAGGAAUACCAGUGGCGAAGGCGGCUUUCUGGACCCUAACUGACACUGAGGAGCGAAAGCGUGGGUAGCAAACAGG